This 301-nucleotide ribosomal RNA is filed under the name uncultured bacterium. RNAcentral describes it as "partial 16S ribosomal RNA". It matches the Rfam family "Bacterial small subunit ribosomal RNA", at positions 509 to 807 of the family's 1533-position model. The record is from RNAcentral.
CAGUAGCCGCGGUAAUACGGAGGGAGCUAGCGUUGUUCGGAAUUACUGGGCGUAAAGCGCACGUAGGCGGCUUUGUAAGUUAGAGGUGAAAGCCUGGAGCUCAACUCCAGAAUUGCCUUUAAGACUGCAUCGCUUGAAUCCAGGAGAGGUGAGUGGGAUUCCGAGUGUAGAGGUGAAAUUCGUAGAUAUUCGGAAGAACACCAGUGGCGAAGGCGGCUCACUGGACUGGUAUUGACGCUGAGGUGCGAAAGCGUGGGGAGCAAACAGGAUUAGAUACCCCCGUAGUCCCUGUCUCUUAUAC